This 490-nucleotide ribosomal RNA is filed under the name uncultured bacterium. RNAcentral's name for it is "partial 16S ribosomal RNA". It matches the Rfam family "Bacterial small subunit ribosomal RNA", at positions 30 to 507 of the family's 1533-position model. The record is from RNAcentral.
AUUGAACGCUGGCGGCAGGCCUAACACAUGCAAGUCGAACGGUAACAGGAAGCAGCUUGCUGCUUCGCUGACGAGUGGCGGACGGGUGAGUAAUGUCUGGGAAACUGCCUGAUGGAGGGGGAUAACUACUGGAAACGGUAGCUAAUACCGCAUAACGUCGCAAGACCAAAGAGGGGGACCUUAGGGCCUCUUGCCAUCGGAUGUGCCCAGAUGGGAUUAGCUAGUAGGUGGGGUAACGGCUCACCUAGGCGACGAUCCCUAGCUGGUCUAAGAGGAUGACCAGCCACACUGGAACUGAGACACGGUCCAGACUCCUACGGGAGGCAGCAGUGGGGAAUAUUGCACAAUGGGCGCAAGCCUGAUGCAGCCAUGCCGCGUGGAUGAAGAAGGCCUUCGGGUUGUAAAGUACUUUCAGCGGGGAGGAAGGGAGUAAAGUUAAUACCUUUCCUCAUUGACGUUACCCGCAGAAGAAGCACCGGCUAACUCCGUG